AUGCUCACCUUCGCCUCCGGCAACACCCUUGAUGUGCCCUUCGUCGACCCCUCCCUCAUCCGCAACGAGCAGCGCAGCUCCGAGGGCAACCUCUGGUUGCUGCCCACGCCCAAGGUGUUUGGCAACACCACGCUCGUCGUCUCCCAGCGCCACAACCGGACCUACUCCGCCAAGAACGUCACGCAGUUCCUCAACGACAUCGGGUUCGCCGACGGGGUGGAGCCGUACCGGGCGCGGAUACGGCCGCUCGGCGAGGUCCUGCCGGAGUCGGGCGUGCCGGUGACAUGCCUCGUGGGCACCGGCGUUGACACGGUGGAGAGCCUCAUGUUCGGGGACGAGGGGUUCGACGCAGGGCCCGUCAAUGUGGUGUACGGCGACGACGACGGGACGGUGAACCUCACUAGCCUCAUGGGACCGAUCAAGGCCUGGUCCGACUCGCCGGCGCAGGUCCUCGAGGUGGUGGAGCUGCCCAAGGUGUCGCACAUGGGCAUCCUCAAGGACAAGAGCGCCGUCGACCAGAUCCUCAGGAUUCUUGAUUCCAUCAACCUAAACGCCACGACCACUACCUAUCAUCAGUCUUAUAAAUAG
RNAcentral lists this ribosomal RNA (588 nucleotides) under Triticum aestivum (bread wheat). Its description in RNAcentral is "partial small subunit ribosomal RNA". Lineage: Eukaryota; Viridiplantae; Streptophyta; Magnoliopsida; Poales; Poaceae. The record is from RNAcentral.